GGGGGUGCCCGGUUUUGACAGCAGGCAGAGUUUGAUCGUAAGCACGUCGAGCGCUGUGCGGCGGCUCGUAAAUACCGACGCUCGAACUACAAAUGGCAAUAACAGCUACGCACUCGCUGCCUAAUUUUCAAGGAAAAUGGGCUUAAUCGCCGGGGCCAAGGAGCUUCGGCGACGAGUAUCCCGAAAGGGCGUUCCGCUCUUUAACGGCCUUUCAUUACGGGGUAUCAUCAUUUAGAGAUAGCGUGCGGGAGGGUUCCGGCCCGCAUGCGAAAAUCGAGGAACUGGGCUCCGGGUUCGGCUGCUGCCUGCCAGGCUCGGAGAGAAGGACGAAAGGGCGGCUAAGCGUGUAGAAAGCUUUCGGGUUCCCUGUUUGGACGCGGGUUCGACUCCCGCCACCUCCACAC
This 404-nucleotide transfer-messenger RNA is filed under the name Alistipes sp. It matches the Rfam family "transfer-messenger RNA". From Rfam's summary of the family: Bacterial tmRNA, also known as 10Sa RNA or SsrA, is named for its dual tRNA and mRNA-like properties. Its role is to liberate the mRNA from a stalled ribosome. To accomplish this part of the tmRNA is used as a reading frame that ends in a translation stop signal. Lineage: Bacteria; Pseudomonadati; Bacteroidota; Bacteroidia; Bacteroidales; Rikenellaceae. The record is from RNAcentral.